This 477-nucleotide ribosomal RNA is filed under the name uncultured bacterium. RNAcentral's name for it is "partial 16S ribosomal RNA". It matches the Rfam family "Bacterial small subunit ribosomal RNA", at positions 28 to 507 of the family's 1533-position model. The record is from RNAcentral.
GAUGAACGCUGGCGGCGUGCUUAAUACAUGCAAGUCGAGCGAACAGACGAGGAGUUUGCUGCUCUGUCGUUAGCGGCGGAGGGGUGAGUAACGCGUGGAUACCCUACUUAUCAGACUGAGAUAACUUGGGAACUCCGGAUCUUAUACGAGAUAAUCUAUUGAACCGUAUGGGUGGAUGGUAAAAGACGGUUGUGCGGGCGGUUGGGGAUGGAUCUGAGGCUUAUUAGCUUGUUGGUAGGGUAGUGGGUUACGACGGCUUGGAGGGGUAGCCGGCCUGAGAGGGUGACCGGCCACAUUGGGACUGAGAUACGGCCCAGACUCCUACGGGAGGCAGCAGUGGGGAAUAUUGCACAAUGGGCGGAAGCCUGAUGCAGCAACGCCGCGUGCGGGAUGACGGCCUUCGGGUUGUAAACCACUUUCGCCUGUGACGAAGCGUGAGUGACGGUAAUGGGUAAAGAAGCACCGGCUAACUACGUG